ACGUGAUCUGAGUUCAGACCGGAGUAAUCCAGGUCAGUUUCUAUCUAUAAAGAGCUUUUUCUAGUACGAAAGGACCGAAAAAGCGUGGCCAAUGCUAAAAGUAAGCCACUAAAUAUAUUUAUGAUUUUUAACUUAAUAAAUAAUUAUUCUAUUAUAUGUCCUUAGACAAAGGA
Molecule: ribosomal RNA, 173 nt
Filed under: Dendropsophus minutus (lesser treefrog)
Lineage: Eukaryota; Metazoa; Chordata; Amphibia; Anura; Hylidae
Description: partial 16S large subunit ribosomal RNA
Source: RNAcentral